RNAcentral lists this ribosomal RNA (406 nucleotides) under uncultured bacterium. Its description in RNAcentral is "partial 16S ribosomal RNA". It matches the Rfam family "Bacterial small subunit ribosomal RNA", at positions 30 to 526 of the family's 1533-position model. The record is from RNAcentral.
AUUGAACGCUGGCGGCAGGCCUAACACAUGCAAGUCGAACGAGUGGCGGACGGGUGAGUAAUGUCUGGGAAACUGCCUGAUGGAGGGGGAUAACUACUGGAAACGGUAGCUAAUACCGCAUACCAUCGGAUGUGCCCAGAUGGGAUUAGCUAGUAGGUGGGGUAAAGGCUCACCUAGGCGACGAUCCCUAGCUGGUCUGAGAGGAUGACCGGCCAAAUUGGACCUGAGACACGGCCCAAACUCCUACGGGAGGAAGCAGUGGGGAAUAUUGGACAAUGGGCGCAAGCCGGAUGCGGCCAUGCCGCGUGGAUGAAGAGGGCCUUCGGGUUGUAAAGUACUUUCUGCGGGGAGGCGUUACCCGCAGAGGAAGCGCCGGCUAACUCCGUGCCAGCAGCCGCGGUAAUUC